Molecule: ribosomal RNA, 175 nt
Filed under: uncultured bacterium
Lineage: Bacteria
Description: partial 16S ribosomal RNA
Rfam family: Bacterial small subunit ribosomal RNA
Source: RNAcentral
GGAAUCGCUAGUAAUCGCGGAUCAGCAUGCCGCGGUGAAUACGUUCCCGGGCCUUGUACACACCGCCCGUCACACCAUGAGAGUCGGGAACACCCGAAGUCCGUAGUCUAACUUUCACGAGAGGACGCGGCCGAAGGUGGGUUCGAUAAUUGGGGUGAAGUCGUAACAAGGUAGC